CCCCUCUUGACCUGGCCUACUUGAACUGUCCUUGUGCGCAACUUGGUGCAUAAUCUAGGGGAACAACAUCACUCUACUACACAUGGGUCACUUACCCGAAACCUCCCCUGUGCGCCGUUUGCUAUCGAGUUGGUGUUCUUACCAAUACCCCGCCCUCGGUUCCUUUUUUUGGGGUCUUGCGUGUCAUGUACUUCAACCUCAUCAGGUCCACAGAUGGAUAUUUCUCUGUUAUGUAGCCGCGAAUGGCCUGCGAUGAGACCAUUCGAGAGUCCAACUCCUUCAGCGCUUCUUUAACCAUCACCAUCGUAGGUGGAUGAAGAGAAGUUUUCCGUGCCACAGCAGUCACUGCCACCAUCUUCUGUGAAGUCAGACUAACAGUAUGUAUGUAGCUGUCUAAAUAAUGACCUUGUUCAUCCCUGAUAUGGCUGGUCGUCUGUUUUUGCUCAUCCUCCUUUUCGAUACCUUCCAGUACAUCAAAGCCAAAGAUCUUCCUCGGCCCAGUCUAACAGUGAUUCCUGCAGUCAUCAAAGAGAGAGACUCAGUUCAGCUGAACUGUCAGACUCCUUCAUCUGUCUCUGAGUGUUACUUCAAAAUGGAAGGGCAAGUGGAAUUCACCCUACCAUCACCCUGUCAACAGACUCUCACAGGAACACUACUGGUGAGGUGGACAGGUCAGAGUUCACCAGCUGAGGUCAAAAUACAAUGUCAGUACAGUGCUACAGGUUCACAGUUUAGAUCCAUGUUCAGUGAGCCUUCAACAGUCACAAUUCAGGACCUUCCUCAGCUGACAGUGAGUUCUACAGUCAUCAGAGAGACAGAAUCAGUUCAGCUGAGUUGUGAGACUCCUCCAUCUCUCCCUGUGUCUCACUGUUACUUCUACAUAGAGGGGAGGAAGAAUCUUCCAGACUCAUUGUGUACGCAGACAAUAACAGGAACUCAGCUGCUGAAGAGGGCAGAUCAAACAUUUCCAGUUGUGGUCAAAGUGAAGUGUUACUAUGCUGUAUGGAAGUCUCACACAUCUCCGUUUAGUAACUCUGUCUCAGUCACUGUUCAGGACCCACCUCCUCCCAGGCUGACAGUCAGUUCUACAGUCAUCAGUGAGAGAGACUCAGUUCAGCUGAGCUGUGACUCUCCUCCAUCUGUCUCUGUGUCUCAGUGUUACUUCUACACAGAGGGGAGAGAUCCUAAACCCUCACCCUGUACGAAGUCACUCACGGGGACUGAGCUGCUCUCGUCGGCAGGUCAAAGUUCAUCUGCUGAGAUCAAACUGAGAUGUUUUUACACAGUAGAAACUCACUUUCC
RNAcentral lists this long non-coding RNA (1302 nucleotides) under Salmo salar (Atlantic salmon). Its description in RNAcentral is "lncRNA (ENSSSAG00000093033.1)". The record is from RNAcentral. Lineage: Eukaryota; Metazoa; Chordata; Actinopteri; Salmoniformes; Salmonidae.